GGUUUCGUAUUCUUGGUUCCCUUUGGCAGCGAGUGCAUGGCGCUGCAGGCGCUUUUUGUAGUUCUCUUUGCUUCGAGUUCACCGUGUUGGAAUGCAAACAUCCUGUCCAGCACCGGCGAGCUUACAGUAUUCGAAAGUUUUUAUCGACGGAAGAACCUAUCUGGACAUACAACGCAACAAAGCCGUCAACUCAUCGAUGUCAAGUGGACGUAACGAAUGAUGUGAAAAAUACUUCGAUUUAUUUCAAGCGAUGGUACUAUUUGAACCAUCAAAAGAAAACCAGCAAUAUUUUGGGAAAGUUCGAUCGAAACCGCAAGAAACGCAUGGUGGUUGAUCUUCCAGGUCAUAAUUACACUGUCGAAGAGGAUAUUCUUUACAUGAGUGAAAACUUUGGAUGUGCAGUGAUUAUGAUUACGACGAAAAGGCAGAUAGACAAUGCCAAUGCGGUCAAUACACGUAUUUCACAACGCACGUGAGAUGAUCUCGGCUUCACUUUCACUCCAGGUAAAUUCAUCACAUAUGACCUGCGAGUAAGAAAUUCUUCAAUGAUAUGUGGCGAUAUCACUGACUGUAAAGUGAAAUUCAGUGAGUAUGAGCGAAGAGAGGGGCAACUUUUGUACUCACCCGCAUGCCAGAACAUAUUUGUCAAGUAUCCGAAUGUAAGGCAUAAAUAAAGAUAUCG
Molecule: long non-coding RNA, 682 nt
Organism: Dermacentor silvarum
Lineage: Eukaryota; Metazoa; Arthropoda; Arachnida; Ixodida; Ixodidae
Exons: 5
Source: RefSeq, a predicted model, not a curated record